This 395-nucleotide ribosomal RNA is filed under the name Leptocylindrus sp. RNAcentral's name for it is "partial small subunit ribosomal RNA". It matches the Rfam family "Eukaryotic small subunit ribosomal RNA", at positions 582 to 975 of the family's 1831-position model. Lineage: Eukaryota; Bacillariophyta; Leptocylindrophyceae; Leptocylindrales; Leptocylindraceae. The record is from RNAcentral.
AUUCCAGCUCCAAUAGCGUAUAUUAAAGUUGUUGCAGUUAAAACGCUCGUAGUCGGAUUUCUGGUGCAUUCCACUGGCCUAUUGGUUAACUCCAACUUGGCUCAUUUGGAAUACGCCAUCUUUAGGCAGACCCGUCGUGGCAUUAGGUUGUCGUGAUGGUUACGCCUAUCGUUUACUGUGAAGAAAUUAGGGUGUUCAAAGCAGGCUUAUGCCAUGAAUACGUUAGCAUGGAAUAAUGAGAUAGGAUUUCGGUACUAUUUUGUUGGUUUGUGUACGGAAAUAAUGAUUAACAGGAACAGUGUUGUGGGUAUUCGUAUUUCGUUGUCAGAGGUGAAAUUCUUGGAUUUACGUAAGACGAACGACUGCGAAAGCAUUUACCAAGGAUGUUUUCAUUA